Non-coding RNA from Candidatus Schekmanbacteria bacterium RBG_16_38_10, 116 nucleotides. Lineage: Bacteria; Candidatus Schekmaniibacteriota. The record is from Rfam.
AUCUUAUCAAGAGUGGCUGAGGGAACGGCCCGUUGAAGCCACAGCAACCGGUCCUGAAAAAAACAGGAUGCUGGUGCUAAGUCCGGUCCCGAAGAAAGUUCGGGAGAAGAUAAGAA